GACGAACGCUGGCGGCGUGCUUAACACAUGCAAGUCGAACGGAAAGGCCCUGCUUGCAGGGUGCUCGAGUGGCGAACGGGUGAGUAACACGUGGGUGAUCUGCCCCUUACUUUGGGAUAAGCCUGGGAAACUGGGUCUAAUACUGGAUAGGACCAUGCUGUAGGUGGUGUGGUGGAAAGAUUAGUUUCGGUAAGGGGUGAGCUCGCGGCCGAUCAGCUUGUUGGUGGGGUAAUGGCCUACCAAGGCGUCGACGGGUAGCCGGCCUGAGUGGGUGGACGGCAACGUUGGGACUGCUACACGGCCCAGCCUCCUACGGGAGGCCGCAGUGGGGGAUAGUGCACCAGGGGAGCACGCCUGAUGCAGCGACGCCGCGUGGGUGAUGACGGCCUGCGGGUUGUAAACUCCUUUCAGCCAUGACGAAGCCCUUGUGGUGACGGUAGUGGCAGAAGAAGCACCGGCUAACUACGUG
This 469-nucleotide ribosomal RNA is filed under the name uncultured bacterium. Its description in RNAcentral is "partial 16S ribosomal RNA". It matches the Rfam family "Bacterial small subunit ribosomal RNA", at positions 28 to 507 of the family's 1533-position model. The record is from RNAcentral.